This 640-nucleotide ribosomal RNA is filed under the name uncultured Mycobacterium sp. Its description in RNAcentral is "bacterial SSU rRNA". It matches the Rfam family "Bacterial small subunit ribosomal RNA", at positions 235 to 885 of the family's 1533-position model. The record is from RNAcentral. Lineage: Bacteria; Bacillati; Actinomycetota; Actinomycetes; Mycobacteriales; Mycobacteriaceae.
GGCCUAUCAGCUUGUUGGUGGGGUGAUGGCCUACCAAGGCGACGACGGGUAGCCGGCCUGAGAGGGUGAUCGGCCACAUUGGGACUGAGAUACGGCCCAGACUCCUACGGGAGGCAGCAGUGGGGAAUAUUGCACAAUGGGCGGAAGCCUGAUGCAGCGACGCCGCGUGAGGGAUGACGGCCUUCGGGUUGUAAACCUCUUUCAGCAGGGACGAAGCGUAAGUGACGGUACCUGCAGAAGAAGCACCGGCUAACUAUGUGCCAGCAGCCGCGGUAAUACGUAGGGUCCGAGCGUUGUCCGGAAUUACUGGGCGUAAAGAGCUCGUAGGUGGUUUGUCGCGUUGUUCGUGAAAACUCACAGCUUAACUGUGGGCGUGCGGGCGAUACGGGCAGACUAGAGUACUGCAGGGGAGACUGGAAUUCCUGGUGUAGCGGUGAAAUGCGCAGAUAUCAGGAGGAACACCGGUGGCGAAGGCGGAUCUCUGGGCCAUUACUGACGCUGAGGAGCGAAAGCGUGGGGAGCGAACAGGAUUAGAUACCCUGGUAGUCCACGCCGUAAACGGUGGGAACUAGGUGUUGGCGACAUUCCACGUCGUCGGCGCCGCAGCUAACGCAUUAAGUUCCCCGCCUGGGGAGUACGG